UGAAAUUGAGCAAAAGGAAUAUAAACAAUUCAUUUAAAGAGAUGAAUAAUACUAAUAAACUUAUUAUUUGUUCAACAGCUGCUAUGAAAUAAAGUAUAAGAUUCACUGUAAUAAUGAUAAUGAUAAUAACUAUGCCCUCAAAGCAUCAUGAGACAAGUUGAAGAACCUCUGGGUUAGUGGAUGAAUGGUUUACAGGUGAUGCUGUAUGAAAGACACAGUCACAUCCAUCAACCGCAGGAUCAAAAGAUCCCUCCUCAAGUAAAUUGGCUUCAAACAAGUGAAGUCUUUCCUUGGCUCCGUCAAGUGCAAGGAGGUGUUCGGUCUUCUGUGGAUCAUCUGAAAUACAAGCAGAAGACUGAUGAUUACUACCAGCCUUAAAAUGUCGAUGGAAGCUGUCUAGCUAUCUGCCCCUCCCACAACCGACGACAACUCCUAACAUUUACUUGGGCAUAUAAGCUUUUGAGUAAAAAUUUCUAUUUUGGCAUCUCAAGGGACCGUUGAUGCUGGCCAGGCUUUGGACGAGCCCGCACAUCUUUGUUUUUAGGCAUCUCCCAAAAAACCCUCAUACUAAUGGAAUUAUUCUGGUUGUUAAUAUUCUAGUUUUCUGUUUCUCCCGCAGCCGAUGUGGACGUGGACAAGCCUAAACAAUCCCGUUGGGUCAAAAACGGAAAACACACUAAAUCAACACAGCAAGAAACACAAAAAAAAGAGCAGAAACAUGCAAAGAAAAAGAGUUGAAAUACAAACUGAGAGAUCGAACAGUGGCGUUGACAGUGUAAUUCCGUUCAAGUAACAUCUUGACAAGCCAUGCAGCGAUAUAUCCUGACGCCCCUGUUACACAAACUAGCUUUCCUCUUCCACUCAUGCUUUCCUCUGUCUCAACUGCCUUAAACUCUUCUUCUUUCUUCUCAGACAUAACUGACAUGUCGACUCCAAGACAAGAUUUUUCAAGUGUAUUCUUGUUCAACUUUUGACUACAUGCACUUGUAUCUCUGUUUCUUUAUAGUGCCUUGUACGACUAUGCUACCCACUCCAGCCAGAGUACUUUUACAAGUAAUUUAAUAUGAUUCUUAAAAUUCUUAUAAAUAUUUAUUUUUCUAGAAUAAUUAUAGUAUUGUAAAUUUUUCUUGAGAAAACAAUCUAACUAUAUAACUAGUUCUUUAAAACUUAAAUUACAUUUAAAAAAAAUCAAAAUAACAUUUAAUUUGACCAGAAUAUUUGAAAAAUAAUGUGUAAACUUUUUCUCAUACCUUAAAUUAUAUGGAAAAAUCAAAAUAACACUUAAUUUGACCAUAAAAUUUGAAAUUACGUGUAAAUUUUUUCUUACACCUUAAAUUCCAAGGAAAAAUCAAAAUAACACUUAAUUUGAUCUGAAUAUUUGAAAAAUAAUGUGGAAACUUUUUCUUACACCUUAAAUAACAUGGACAAAUCAAAAUCACACUUAAUUUGACCAUAAAAUUUGAAAUUAUGUGUAAACUUUUUCUUACACAUUAAAUUCCAUGGAAAAAUCAAAAUAACACUUAAUUUGACCUGAAUAUUUGAAAAAUAAUGUGGAAACUUUUUCUUACACCUUCAAUAACAUGGAAAAAUCAAAAUAGCACCUCAUGUGACCUGAAUAUUUGAAAAAUAAUGUGGAAACUUUUUCUUACAUCUUAAACUGCAUGGAGAAAUCAAAAUAACACUUAAUUUGAGCAGAAAAUUUGAAAUUAUGUGUAGCUUUUUUUUACACCUUAAAUUACAUGGAAAAAUCAAAAUAACACUUAUUUUGAUCGGAAUAUUUGAAAAAUAAUGUGAAAACUUUUGCUUACACCUUAAGUUGAAUGGAAAAAUCAAAAUAACACUUAAUUUGAUCAGAAAAUUUGAAAUUACGUGUAAACUUUUUCUUACACCUUAAAUUGCAUGGAAAAAUCAAAAUAACACUUAAUUUAACCAGAAAAUUUGGAAUUAUGUGUAAACAUUUUCUUAUACCUUAAAUUUCAUGAAAAAAAUCAAAAUAACACUUAAUUUGACCAGAAUAUUUGAAAAAUAAUGUGUAAACUUUUUCUUACAUCUUAAAUUGCAUAGAAAAAUCAAAAUAACACCUAAUUUGACCAGAAAAUUUGAAAUUAUAUAUAAACUUUUUCUUACACUUUAAAUUCCAUUGAAAAAUUAAAAUAACACUUAAUUUGACUAGAAUAUUUGAAAAAUAAUGUGUAAACUUUUUCUUACAUUUUAAAUUGCAUGGAAAAAUCAAAAUAACACUUAAUUUGACCAGAAAAUUUGAAAUUAUGUGUAAAGUUUUUCUUACACCUUAAAUUACAUUAAAAAAAAUCAAAAUAACACUUAAUUCGAUCAGAGAAUCUUACAAGAUCCGUUCUUCUUUAAAUCCUUCUUCUUUUUGCUAACAUCUUGUUUUUUUUGCUAAACAAAACCCCUGUUACAACACUAACAAAUCAUGUCAAAAUUGAUAUAUUGAUAUAUACUGCACUUACAACGCUAACAUAUCAUGUUAGCAUGAUAUGUUUUACCAAAAUUUAUGUUUUUGUUUACAAAAUACGUGCUUGAUUCUUAUUUCAGCAAACAACAAAUUUGGUUCAACUUCACCACAUAUUACAUAUUCAGAACAAAGCCCUUUAACUACAGCCAGCUGACAUCUCUCUUUCUGUGUACUAGAAAGAGUAAAGAAAAAUUCUCAAGGUGCUGCAAUCUUAAUAAAACAACUAAAUUUAUCAAAUGUAAAGUUCACAUAGGACAUUUCGAAUUACCGGUGCUGAUUAGUGUGACCAAUUAUGUUAACAGCAUGAGAGUCAUUUAUUUUUCGGCUACUAGUAUGUAACAUUUUGAUUUAGAGAAUCAGAAAGUUCUUUUCCAUCAAGCUUUCCACCAUAUCCUUGAGGCUCACUUCAAGAGGUAGAAAAUCAAUGCCUAGACUUUUAGCUCUUUCCUUAGAGACAUGGAAGGGUGGACCAGCAGGCUUUUCUUUUUUGCACCUGAAACUCAAUACAAUAAAACAAAAUACCUGAGACUACUCCAACGACUUGUGGAAUUAUUAGGUGGAACUUAAAAAUUUUGAUUACUAUCAUGCGGUUGUAUUACAACAGUAUCAAAUGCAUUCAGCAAAGAGUGUACUACUGCAUUUUGUUAAAAUAACAGCUGGUUUCAUAAUGCAAUCGGAAAAAUAUUUUUAUUUUCCAAUGAUAUUAUAUCAAAGUGUGUAUAGACUUUAGAGAUCCAUGUUAUAUGACUCUAGAGAAUCUUAAUAUAAAAGCAUAUUAUAUGAUUCCCAUGUUCUUAUCAGAUCAACCCUUCAGAAGUCACGUCUUUUGUCAUCAUUUUUCACUUUGAUAGUUUGGCCAACAUGAAACGAACAGCAGCAACUUAAUCUUGACCACAUACAUGUCCAUCCAAUGAAAUUAAAAAAACAUGCUUAUCUAUUGAUUUCUUCGAUUAUCUGUAAUUUGUAAAGUAGAUAGAGUGUCAGGCAUCUACAUUAAACUUCUGUGAUUUACUAAGCCGAUACUUCAAAAACUCGUGUCAAGGUGUACAAAUCCUUUUUUGAUUUAAAAUUAUUUUUUCAUCAUUGAACAAUGACCGACUCUUCAUAACAAAUCGUUCAGAUUAUACAAAGAAAGGGAUUUAAAUCAGAACUACAAUGAAGAAAGAAAAAAUUGCACGAGACAAUGCACAUGGAUGACAACAUAUUAAAUUUUUUAAUGUCAGAUCCCAUGGAAUCAUGCCUAGAGUCAUGGAAGAUAGAAAUUCUAAUAUGUGAUGGCAAUGAAAAGUAAACAUACGUAUCAGGAAGACUAAUAGCAGGAUAAAGCUUGUGUAUUAUCUUCAAAGCCUCCGAAGAGUAUGCCACACUCCCAACUAAGCAAUAUCUUCCACAUGCAGAAGGAAUCUCAAAUGCUUGUAUAUGAGCAUAAGCAACAUCUCUGACAUCAACAAAUCUAUAAAUUCCAUCAAUGGACAUUUCUUUUCCUGUGACAUACAAAAUAUUUUAACCAUCAGGAUGAUUUAAAAAUGUGUGAUGAUAUAUGAACACAUCCAUACUUUUUGAUACUUAACAGUGUAAUUAAGAUGGAUGUCAUUUGUUUGUGAUACAUGCGUUGUAAAUUAGACGUCUCUCAUCUAGAUGGUCGAACAAACAAAAGGAAGCAUAACAUAUAUAGCAUAUACAAAUAUUACUGAAACCAACAAAGUAACGAGAAAAAACAAAAAUACUUUAAAUUUGGUUGAGAAAGCAAGAGGUGGGGAACUUUAAUUACAAUUUACUGUAAUUAGUUCUAGUUGGAGUGUAAGACUUCUCUGUAAAGUUUGAGAAGUCUUAAAAGUAGUGCUCGAUAAUCAAUAACAUCUUACAAUGCCAGAAGUAGAGAAAAUGAUUAUGUUUAUGAUAACCUAUAUUGGAGGAACAUCACAUAUGAUACUUGUACAUAUUAAAUACUUGGCUGAUAAGUGACAUAAACUGAUCAGUUGCAAAUGUACUUUAAUGAGGCUGCUCUUUUUUCAAUUUUUUCACAAUGUCCACAGGCAUAACUUUGGCCCUAAUGCCUUGCUCCUAGUGUCUGGGUGUCAGACUCAAGCAGUUUAGCACAGAAUGAAGAUUUUAAGUACCAGAGCCUUACAGGCCAAAGUUGACAAUACAAGUUGUUAGGGGUGUACGCGAUUUGUUUUGGGCAGUUAGAAGGUAAAACCAAACCAGACUACAACUUGCGGUUUUUUAAAAUUCUUCAUUUGUGGCUAAACCACUAGUUAGAAAAAACCGAACCAAAUCAACCCGCGAAAAUGCGGUUUUUGCAGUUCGAAUCUACAGUUCAAUCACUAUAGAUGCGUGUGUGUCUAGUUGGAAAAAAAAAAACUCGCCUUAGUUUAUGAGCUUGCAGAAUUUGCAGAAAUAAUAAUAUAAAGCAGUAGUAAUAAAGAAGUGCAGAACACAACCUAUGAAAAUCAAACAGAAUGGUACAAUAUAUAAGAUUAAGUAAUUAUACAUAAGCAGAAGCUUAGUUUAGAAAGUCGGGAAAAGGGGGACAGGGACGUACUCACAUAAAACCCAUGACCAAAAAAAGGUCAUGAAUAGGCGCCUGAACCACUGGGGCAACACGACAUUUGUAUAUUACUAUAGUUAGGCAUUAAGACAAUUCAAUAUAAGAAUUCAACUCAUAUAAAAAUAUAUGUAUAUUAUAGCACUCAAGUGACCCUGAUUUUUUCUCACUUAUAGGUCAGAGGAAAGAGCUGCAAGAAUCAAUCGAGUAGAAGAUACUUGGAAUUAUGUUAUCAAGUUUCUUCCAUAGGUAGUUGCUAGACAAGUUGCAUAGUUGAAAGGUAAAUGGUGCUUUGGCAAUGUAGCAGAAGGUAUCAUCUUACCCGUUUUAAUGAGGUUUAGCAUCCCUUCUGAAGUAGCAUUUAAAACUGGCUGCAAGAGAGGACCUAAGACAAAACCUGGAUGCAGUGUCACCAAGUCAAUUCCGUGCUCUUCUGCAAACUUUAAAGCUGCUUGCUCAGCCAAUGUUUUGAAAGGUGAUAAUAAAGCUGAGCAAAAACAGAAGUUCCAUCAACAUCUUACAGUUCACAAGCUUAAAGAUACUCUUUCAAAUUAUAGAAUUCCAAAGCAGGUGAAAUGAAAUAAUUCCAAAUAAAACACGGUCUUCAGAUUUAAGCCUUACAACGAAAAUGUUCCGUUCCAUAUUAAAUAACUAUGCCUUCGAUUGGAGGAUAACAAGGUUAACCACAGACAGCCUAUUACUUUCCUUUUUUUUUUUGCUAAAUGACUGAAGACUGAAGAAAACAAGCUGUGCAUUGUUUCUAAAACUUUGUAGGCAUGCGUUUCAGUUAAAAAAGAGUGGAAUAUAUGCUAUAGGCAGUCUACAGAACAAGCACAUUUUAACAUAUUUAACAGUUGAGAAUUUCAUAUUAUGUUGUACACUUGCCUUCCGUUCCUCACAAAGUACUGGAGAAGAAAACCAAGUUUCAUCCAUCACAGUAUCAGGCUUCAAAGGCUUCCCGGUGAUCAUAAUUGAAGCUGUGGAAGAUGUUAUUACCACCCUUUUAAUAGAUGGAAAUUUUGUGCAUGACUGAAGAACGUUAAGUGUUCCCUUCACUGCAGGCUCGACCAGUUCUGCCUGAAACUGAGUAAAGGAAAUAAGAACACGGAGGUCAAACGUACGCUUGUAAGCUAAAAUUCCAUUUCAGAAACAUUUGUUAGAAAAGUACAAAAAAUAAAAUGCAGAUCAUGCUCACACGUUGGUUGUUAUCAUAUAUUGAUAACAAUCAAGGAAACUACACAGCAAUAGAUCUACUGACUAAGUAAAUGAUAAUUAUAAACAAAAUAAGACAACAACCUAAUAUAACCCAGGAAAUUCACUUGUUCUGCCAAAGAUACGAACUGAAUCUAUAUUGUCCAAUAAUAUGGUAGAUAAAGGUUCCAGUCGUGUGUAAGUUUAAGAAUGGCGACGAAGUAUGAGCACUUUAUCUAGUGACAAAGUGCUAAAUCUAUAUAACUCUUUAAAAGUAGUUGUAAUACUACAUAUACUCUUCUUGUCAUGGUAUUGCCAUCCAAUUUAAUGUGACUAAAUGUCUAAUUUGUCCCUAAAUUUGUCUAGAUCAGUCUUACUUACAAGUACACGGAAAUGCAAGGAGUAGAAGAAAAAAACCUGGGGGAUAGAAGAUGAAAGGUUUACAGGUGAUGCUGUAUGAAAGACACAAUCACAUCCAUCAACCGCAGGAUCAAAUGAUCCCUCCUCAAGUAAAUUUGCUUCAAACAAGUGAAGUCUUUCCUUGGCUCCGUCAAGUGCAAGGAGGUGUUCGGUCUUCUGUGGAUC
This 6800-nucleotide long non-coding RNA is filed under the name Daucus carota (carrot). RNAcentral's name for it is "long non-coding RNA (DCAR_LNC000711)". Lineage: Eukaryota; Viridiplantae; Streptophyta; Magnoliopsida; Apiales; Apiaceae. The record is from RNAcentral.